GUGGGGAAUAUUGGACAAUGGGGGGAACCCUGAUCCAGCCAUGCCGCGUGUGUGAAGAAGGCCUUUUGGUUGUAAAGCACUUUAAGCGAGGAGGAGGCUACCGAGAUUAAUACUCUUGGAUAGUGGACGUUACUCGCAGAAUAAGCACCGGCUAACUCUGUGCCAGCAGCCGCGGUAAUACAGAGGGUGCGAGCGUUAAUCGGAUUUACUGGGCGUAAAGCGUGCGUAGGCGGCUUUUUAAGUCGGAUGUGAAAUCCCUGAGCUUAACUUAGGAAUUGCAUUCGAUACUGGAAAGCUAGAGUAUGGGAGAGGAUGGUAGAAUUCCAGGUGUAGCGGUGAAAUGCGUAGAGAUCUGGAGGAAUACCGAUGGCGAAGGCAGCCAUCUGGCCUAAUACUGACGCUGAGGUACGAAAGCAUGGGGAGCAAACAGGAUUAGAAACCCCGGUAGUCC
This 451-nucleotide ribosomal RNA is filed under the name uncultured bacterium. Its description in RNAcentral is "partial 16S ribosomal RNA". It matches the Rfam family "Bacterial small subunit ribosomal RNA", at positions 354 to 796 of the family's 1533-position model. The record is from RNAcentral.